This 288-nucleotide unclassified non-coding RNA is filed under the name uncultured Diversisporaceae. Its description in RNAcentral is "sequence contains ITS2". Lineage: Eukaryota; Fungi; Glomeromycota; Glomeromycetes; Diversisporales. The record is from RNAcentral.
AACACAAAUUGUACUUUCCAGUAUUCUGGGAAGUAUGCUUGGUUGAGGGUCAUUAAAAUAACAUUCGUGAAAUUUUUUGCGGAUUUGAGUUUUCCAGUGUUUAUUAAAAUGUUGGUAACUUUAAAAUUAUUAUUACUUGGUACAAGUUGAAAACGUUCUAUAUGUGUGGUUCGCUGACAACUUGUCCAUCAUCAUAUAUUAUGCGUGCACUUGGUUUUUUUAAGCUUUGUUCGAGUAUAUAUUUUUUUUUAUGACCUCAGCUCAAGUAAGAAUACCCGCUGAACUUAA